UGUGUACUGGUGGGGUCCCUCAGCCUGGCCUGCACCCAUCCGUAAUCCUGGACCCCUCGGGGGAAUUCAGAGAGCCAGUUUCAGCCUGAUCCUGCAGGCCAGGCUGAGGGACCCCACUGGUGCAUG
Molecule: microRNA precursor, 126 nt
Filed under: Myotis brandtii (Brandt's bat)
Lineage: Eukaryota; Metazoa; Chordata; Mammalia; Chiroptera; Vespertilionidae
Description: mir-9193 microRNA precursor family
Rfam family: mir-9193 microRNA precursor family
Source: Rfam by way of RNAcentral